GAUGAACGCUGGCGGCGUGCCUAAUACAUGCAAGUCGAGCGAACAGACGAGGAGCUUGCUCCUCUGACGUUAGCGGCGGACGGGUGAGUAACACGUGGAUAACCUACCUAUAAGACUGGGAUAACUUCGGGAAACCGGCGCUAAUACCGGAUAAUCUAUUGAACCGCAUGGUUCAAUAGUGAAAGACGGCUUUGCUGUCACUUAUAGAUGGAUCCGCGCCGCAUUAGCUAGUUGGUAAGGUAACGGCUUACCAAGGCGACGAUGCGUAGCCGACCUGAGAGGGUGAUCGGCCACACUGGAACUGAGACACGGUCCAGACUCCUACGGGAGGCAGCAGUAGGGAAUCUUCCGCAAUGGGCGAAAGCCUGACGGAGCAACGCCGCGUGAGUGAUGAAGGUCUUCGGAUCGUAAAACUCUGUUAUUAGGGAAGAACAAAUGUGUAAGUAACUAUGCACGUCUUGACGGUACCUAAUCAGAAAGCCACGGCUAACUACGUG
This 497-nucleotide ribosomal RNA is filed under the name uncultured bacterium. Its description in RNAcentral is "partial 16S ribosomal RNA". It matches the Rfam family "Bacterial small subunit ribosomal RNA", at positions 28 to 507 of the family's 1533-position model. The record is from RNAcentral.